UACAGGGGGUGCAAACGUUGCUCGGAAUCAUUGGGCGUAAAGCGCACGUAGGCGGUUACUUAAGUCGGAUGUGAAAGCCCUUGGCUCAACUGAGGAAGUGCAUCCGAAACUGAGUAGCUAGAGUACUAAAGAGGGUCGCGGAAUUCCCGGUGUAGAGGUGAAAUUCGUAGAUAUCGGGAGGAACACCGGUGGCGAAGGCGGCGACCUGGGUAGAGACUGACGCUGAGGUGCGAAAGCGUGGGGAGCAAACAGG
RNAcentral lists this ribosomal RNA (253 nucleotides) under uncultured bacterium. RNAcentral's name for it is "partial 16S ribosomal RNA". It matches the Rfam family "Bacterial small subunit ribosomal RNA", at positions 524 to 776 of the family's 1533-position model. The record is from RNAcentral.